Cucumis sativus (cucumber) is the source of this 2041-nucleotide long non-coding RNA. RefSeq lists it as uncharacterized. Lineage: Eukaryota; Viridiplantae; Streptophyta; Magnoliopsida; Cucurbitales; Cucurbitaceae. The transcript has 2 exons. The record is from RefSeq and is a predicted model, not a curated record.
GCUCAAUAGACACUUAAUUCGCACUGUUGCAAAAAUUUUGAAAACUUAAUGAAGGGCUACUUCAUAAAUUUCCCUUGGUUUUGUUAGGUGGGAGGGUGUGCUGUCAUUUUUAUCCUUAUGAACUUAUGUUUGUUUGUGUUCUUCUCAUGGUUUUAUUUUAGCUUCCUCAAGAUAUUGAAUGACAUUCCAUUGGGCAUUUGUAGAGCAACAAAGUUAAAUCGCUUAUUGGUACAGUCCCUUCCUUGUUCUAUUCUUUCAUUGGUUUAUUACAGUCUUCUUGUUUGUAAUUUCUGCUUUAGUGGAGUCUUCCUAAGGAUUGGUUGUUUUCUUGAUUCUUUAUAAUGUUUUGAAAAUCUUCGUUUCCAAACUUUGAAAGUUGUGUCUAAUUGGUGCUUAAAUUCUAUAACAUGUCUAAUAGUUUCUUAAAUUUAUAAUUGUGUUGACUGAAUUCCAAUUUUGUAUUCAAAAUCUCUAUAUGUUCAUUGAAAGCUUUUACUUUAUCCAGAGGUGGAGGAAAGUGAAGGUGAAGUCUUCUUCUUUUUGCUCAAACAUGCAUCCAUUAUCUUUUUAGUUUUAAAUUUUGGAUGAAUAUGUGGUUUUUGGUUACUGAGGUCAUGAUAGAAGUUGAAGAUUAUGAUAGAAGGUUACGAUAGAAGUUGAAGAUUAUGAUAGAAGUUGAAGAUUUUACGAUAAGAGUAUGUAGAGAAGAAGCAGCGGCAAAUUUUUGUGAGUUGCUUAGAAUGUUUUAUAAUGCAAUGUCCUUCAUGAAAAUAGAGGUUAUGGUCUUAAACUCCCUUCCUUUAUUGUAUAUAUUUAUUUCUCUGUGUUUACCUAAUUCAUCAAUUUUGUUGUUAUUUCUCUGUUUACAAGGUUGACAUCCCACAUUCUUUUCCAAAUAGAAUUUUUUUUUAUAAUUUGAAACGUUUGGUGUUGAAAACAAGGACGACCAAGGAGGUGAUAGAUUUGCCAAUAAGUAUAUUGGUGUUCUUAAAAAUAUGCCUCAAUUUAGAAUCAUGGGCUGUCCAUAAUGAGGUGAUUUGUUUUCUGAAGAAUUAAGAUAUAUGAAAUACCUUAGCUUUUAUGUUUCGUUCUUUUAAUGAGAAGAACUAAUUAGAUUGCUUAUUUCAUGAAUUUUAUAUAGAUACUUAGGUAGUGGCAAUAUAUAUAAAUGCAAUGACGAAAAGCCUAAAGAAAUGUUAAAAAUGCUCCAUAAAGAAAUAUGAAAAAAGAGUACUAAUAAUCGAAGUAUUAGGAUCUAUUACAUUAUUAAAAGUACACAAACUAAAAGUCUAAUAAGAUUUUGAACUUGAACUUACUUGUUGAUGGUACAGUUCAGUAUGUGUAUAUCCAAACUAGUGACAAGAAAUAUUCAUUAUGUGAGGUUUUCUCAAUUCUCGACUAUUUGUCAAAGAAAAUAAACUACUACACAAUUGUGCUAUUUACCAUAUUUGUCUUGUAGGAACUAAGGGCGACAUUCAACUUUGGUUAGAAUGGUGAGCUUAUUUCUUAUUUCAGGAUAGUUCAUAUACUAAAUUUGAUGUUUAUAUGGUUGGUUAGAUGAGUUUCAAAUUUCAAAAGUCUACCUAAAUCUCUAUUGUUUGUUUAGCUUAAAGGUAUAAAAGUGUAAAGUCUGUGGACUUGCACUGAAUAGAGCCAUGGUAAGUUUCUAAUUUCAAAAGUCUACUAUAAGCUCUAUUGUUUGUUGAUGGAUUUUAAUGGAAUUUUGAAGGUUUUAGAAGAGAUGUACUGGGGAACCUAGCUUUCUAAAGCAUGGAGGAUCUAAUAUGGAACCUGGUUCUAGUGGAGCCAACAAAGUUUAUGAAAUUUCCUUCAAAGAAGCUAAUCAGAGGUGAAGGAUUACCGAUUGUUUGUUUAUGCUUGUACAAAAAAUCAUGUUAUAUGUAUUAUGAUAAUAUUUACACUGGUUUUGAUUAAGGGUUGUAAUUACAUGCUUGUAAAUUGUUCAAACUUAAUUAGAAAUAUACAAAUAUUACAAAGUGUAUUGUAGCGUAUAUAUAUUAAAGUGUCGACCAUUUGUUUC